GGUACUGUAUGUACAAUAGGUCUCUAUACACCCUAUGGUACUGUAUGUACAAUAGGUCUCUCUCUAUACACCCUAUGGUACUGUAUGUACAAUAGGUCUCUCUCUAUACACCCUAUGGUACUGUAUGUACAAUAGGUCUCUCUCUAUACACCCUAUGGUACUGUAUGUACAAUAGGUCUCUCUCUAUACACCCUAUGGUACUGUAUGUACAAUAGGUCUCUCUAUACACCCUAUGGUACUGUAUGUACAGUAGAUCUCUCUCUAUACACCCUAUGGUACUGUAUGUACAAUAGGUCUCUCUCUAUACACCCUAUGGUACUGUAUGUACAAUAGGUCUCUCUCUAUAACCCUAUGGUACUGUAUGUACAGUAGAUCUCUCUCUAUACACCCUAUGGUACUGUAUGUACAAUAGGUCUCUCUAUACACCCUAU
Molecule: long non-coding RNA, 431 nt
Organism: Pecten maximus
Lineage: Eukaryota; Metazoa; Mollusca; Bivalvia; Pectinida; Pectinidae
Exons: 3
Source: RefSeq, a predicted model, not a curated record